AUUGAACGCUGGCGGCAGGCCUAACACAUGCAAGUCGAACGGUAGCACAGAGAGCUUGCUCUCGGGUGACGAGUGGCGGACGGGUGAGUAACGUCUGGGAAACUGCCCGAUGGAGGGGGAUAACUACUGGAAACGGUAGCUAAUACCGCAUAACGUCGCAAGACCAAAGUGGGGGACCGUCGGGCCUCACACCAUCGAAUGUGCCCAGAUGGGAUUAGCUAGUAGGUGGGGUAAUGGCUCACCUAGGCGACGAUCCCUAGCUGGUCUGAGAGGAUGACAAGCCAAACUGGAACUGAGACACGGUCCAGACUCCUACGGGAGGCAGCAGUGGGGAAUAUUGCACAAUGGGCGCAAGCCUGAUGCAGCCAUGCCGCGUGUAUGAAGAAGGCCUUCGGGUUGUAAAGUACUUUCAGCGGGGAGGAAGGCGGUGAAGUUAAUAGCUUCACCGAUUGACGUUACCCGCAGAAGAAGCACCGGCUAACUCCGUGCCAGCCGCCGCCGUAA
This 504-nucleotide ribosomal RNA is filed under the name uncultured bacterium. RNAcentral's name for it is "partial 16S ribosomal RNA". It matches the Rfam family "Bacterial small subunit ribosomal RNA", at positions 29 to 523 of the family's 1533-position model. The record is from RNAcentral.